RNAcentral lists this ribosomal RNA (1361 nucleotides) under uncultured bacterium. Its description in RNAcentral is "bacterial SSU rRNA". It matches the Rfam family "Bacterial small subunit ribosomal RNA", at positions 1 to 1344 of the family's 1533-position model. The record is from RNAcentral.
CGGAUCCGCGCCGCUGCAGAGUUUGAUCCUGGCUCAGGACGAACGCUGGCGGCGUGCCUAACACAUGCAAGUCGAGCGGGGAUACAUUGGAUGAGAGCUUCGGCAGGAUUCGGGUGUAUUCUAGCGGCGGACGGGUGAGUAACGCGUGAGCAAUCUGUCUCAGACAGGGGGAUAACGCAGCGAAAGUUGCACUAAUACCGCAUAAGACCACAGCCCCGCAUGGGGGAGGGGUCAAAGGAGCAAUCCGGUCUGAGGUGAGCUCGCGUCCUAUUAGGUAGUUGGUGAGGUAACGGCCCACCAAGCCUGCGAUAGGUAGCCGACCUGAGAGGGUGAUCGGCCACACUGGAACUGAGACACGGUCCAGACUCCUACGGGAGGCAGCAGUGGGGAAUAUUGGGCAAUGGGGGAAACCCUGACCCAGCAACGCCGCGUGAGUGAAGAAGGUCCUAUGGAUUGUAAAUCUCUGUCCUAAGAGAAGAGGGGAAGACGGUAUCUUAGGAGGAAGCCCCGGCUAACUACGUGCCAGCAGCCGCGGUAAUACGUAGGGGGCGAGCGUUGUCCGGAAUGAUUGGGCGUAAAGGGCGUGUAGGCGGCUUUGUAAGUCUGGAGUGAAAGUCCUGUUUUUAAGAUGGGAAUUGCUUUGGAUACUGCAGGGCUUGAGUGCAGGAGAGGUUAUCGGAAUUCCCGGUGUAGCGGUGAAAUGCGUAGAGAUCGGGAGGAACACCAGUGGGCGAAGGCGGGUAACUGGACUGCAACUGACGCUGAGGCGCGAAAGUGUGGGGAGCAAACAGGAUUAGAUACCCUGGUAGUCCACACUGUAAACGAUGAAUGCUAGGUGUAGGGGGGUAUCGACCCCUUCUGUGCCGCAGUAAACACAAUAAGCAUUCCGCCUGGGGAGUACGGCCGCAAGGUUGAAACUCAAAGGAAUUGACGGGGGCCCGCACAAGCAGCGGAGCAUGUGGUUUAAUUCGACGCAACGCGAAGAACCUUACCAGGUCUUGACAUCCAGUAAAACUUGCAGAGAUGCAUCGUGAGCUUGCUCAUACUGAGACAGGUGGUGCAUGGUUGUCGUCAGCUCGUGUCGUGAGAUGUUGGGUUAAGUCCCGCAACGAGCGCAACCCUUGCUGAUAGUUACUAACACGUGAUGGUGAGGACUCUAUCAGGACUGCCGGGGACAACUCGGAGGAAGGUGGGGAUGACGUCAAAUCAUCAUGCCCCUUAUGGCCUGGGCUACACACGUGCUACAAUGGCCGUUACAAAGAGGUGCGAAGCCGUAAGGCGGAGCAGUUCUCAAAAAAGCGGUCUCAGUUCGGAUUGUGGGCUGCAACCCGCCCACAUGAAGUCGGAGUUGCUAGUAAUCG